UUGCAUUAUAGCCGGUGAGGAUGAGAACCUCCGGGGGCAAGAGGUUCGACUCGAGCGAAGCGAGAGAACGUUGCGCCAGCAACGGCCCGCAGGGCGAGCCACGAAGUGGCGAGUAAUCCUCUAUCACCGACCA
This 133-nucleotide small RNA is filed under the name Salmonella enterica subsp. enterica serovar Goldcoast. RNAcentral describes it as "RtT sRNA". It matches the Rfam family "RtT RNA". Rfam says of the family: This family represents a bacterial cis-regulatory element known as RtT RNA. The exact function of RtT is unknown although it is thought that it may be involved in changing the cellular response in relation to amino acid starvation. The record is from RNAcentral. Lineage: Bacteria; Pseudomonadati; Pseudomonadota; Gammaproteobacteria; Enterobacterales; Enterobacteriaceae.